UACGAAGGGUCCAAGCGUUAUCCGGAUUUAUUGGGUUUAAAGGGUGCGUAGGCGGCUUAUUAAGUCAGUGGUGAAAGCCUUCAGCUUAACUGAAGAACUGCCAUUGAUACUGAUGAGCUUGAGUAUAUUUGAGGCCGGCGGAAUGUGUCAUGUAGCGGUGAAAUGCUUAGAUAUGACACAGAACACCGAUUGCGAAGGCAGCUGGCUAAACUAUAACUGACGCUGAUGCACGAAAGCGUGGGGAGCAAACAGG
This 253-nucleotide ribosomal RNA is filed under the name uncultured bacterium. RNAcentral's name for it is "partial 16S ribosomal RNA". It matches the Rfam family "Bacterial small subunit ribosomal RNA", at positions 524 to 776 of the family's 1533-position model. The record is from RNAcentral.